RNAcentral lists this unclassified non-coding RNA (200 nucleotides) under Dermateaceae sp. RNAcentral's name for it is "partial internal transcribed spacer 2". The record is from RNAcentral. Lineage: Eukaryota; Fungi; Ascomycota; Leotiomycetes; Helotiales; Dermateaceae.
UUAAGUUCAGCGGGUAUCCCUACCUGAUCCGAGGUCAACCAUAGAAAAUUGGGGGUUGCUGGCCAGCGUCCACCGGAGACUCAGAAGCGAGAUAGAUUUACUACGCGUAGAGCUCGAUGGCACCGCCACUAGUUUUAAGGCCAGCCGUUGCCGGCAGGGCCCAAGACAAGCAGAGCUUGAGGGUUGAAAUGACGCUCGAA